RNAcentral lists this ribosomal RNA (301 nucleotides) under uncultured bacterium. RNAcentral describes it as "partial 16S ribosomal RNA". It matches the Rfam family "Bacterial small subunit ribosomal RNA", at positions 509 to 807 of the family's 1533-position model. The record is from RNAcentral.
CAGUAGCCGCGGGAAUACGUAGGGUGCAAGCGUUAAUCGGAAUUACUGGGCGUAAAGCGUGCGCAGGCGGUUAUAUAAGACAGAUGUGAAAUCCCCGGGCUCAACCUGGGAACUGCAUUUGUGACUGUAUAGCUAGAGUACGGCAGAGGGGGAUGUAAUUCCGCGUGUAGCAGUGAAAUGCGUAGAUAUGCGGAGGAACACCGAUGGCGAAGGCAAUCCCCUGGGCCUGUACUGACGCUCAUGCACGAAAGCGUGGGGAGCAAACAGGAUUAGAUACCCCCGUAGUCCCUGUCUCUUAUAC